RNAcentral lists this ribosomal RNA (2903 nucleotides) under Klebsiella pneumoniae. Its description in RNAcentral is "23S ribosomal RNA". It matches the Rfam family "Bacterial large subunit ribosomal RNA". The record is from RNAcentral. Lineage: Bacteria; Pseudomonadati; Pseudomonadota; Gammaproteobacteria; Enterobacterales; Enterobacteriaceae.
UUAAGCGACUAAGCGUACACGGUGGAUGCCCUGGCAGUCAGAGGCGAUGAAGGACGUGCUAAUCUGCGAAAAGCGUCGGUAAGGUGAUAUGAACCGUUACAGCCGGCGAUGUCCGAAUGGGGAAACCCAGUGUGAUUCGUCACACUAUCGUUAACUGAAUACAUAGGUUAACGAGGCGAACCGGGGGAACUGAAACAUCUAAGUACCCCGAGGAAAAGAAAUCAACCGAGAUUCCCCCAGUAGCGGCGAGCGAACGGGGAGCAGCCCAGAGUCUGAAUCAGCUUGUGUGUUAGUGGAACGGUCUGGAAAGUCCGACGGUACAGGGUGAUAGUCCCGUACACCAAAAUGCACAGGCUGUGAACUCGAAGAGUAGGGCGGGACACGUGGUAUCCUGUCUGAAUAUGGGGGGACCAUCCUCCAAGGCUAAAUACUCCUGACUGACCGAUAGUGAACCAGUACCGUGAGGGAAAGGCGAAAGAACCCCGGCGAGGGGAGUGAAAAAGAACCUGAAACCGUGUACGUACAAGCAGUGGGAGCACCUUCGGGUGUGACUGCGUACCUUUUGUAUAAUGGGUCAGCGACUUAUAUUCUGUAGCAAGGUUAACCGUAUAGGGGAGCCGCAGGGAAACCGAGUCUUAACUGGGCGUUAAGUUGCAGGGUAUAGACCCGAAACCCGGUGAUCUCAGCCAUGGGCAGGUUGAAGGUUGGGUAACACUAACUGGAGGACCGAACCGACUAAUGUUGAAAAAAUUAGCGGAUGACUUGUGGCUGGGGGUGAAAGGCCAAUCAAACCGGGAGAUAGCUGGUUCUCCCCGAAAGCUAUUUAGGUAGCGCCUCGUGAAUUCAUCUUCGGGGGGUAGAGCACUGUUUCGGCUAGGGGGGUCAUCCCGACUUACCAACCCGAUGCAAACUACGAAUACCGAAGAAUGUUAUCACGGGAGACACACGGCGGGUGCUAACGUCCGUCGUGAAGAGGGAAACAACCCAGACCGCCAGCUAAGGUCCCAAAGUCAUGGUUAAGUGGGAAACGAUGUGGGAAGGCACAGACAGCCAGGAUGUUGGCUUAGAAGCAGCCAUCAUUUAAAGAAAGCGUAAUAGCUCACUGGUCGAGUCGGCCUGCGCGGAAGAUGUAACGGGGCUAAACCAUGCACCGAAGCUGCGGCAGCGACACUAUGUGUUGUUGGGUAGGGGAGCGUUCUGUAAGCCUGCGAAGGUGACCUGUGAGGGUUGCUGGAGGUAUCAGAAGUGCGAAUGCUGACAUAAGUAACGAUAAAGCGGGUGAAAAGCCCGCUCGCCGGAAGACCAAGGGUUCCUGUCCAACGUUAAUCGGGGCAGGGUGAGUCGACCCCUAAGGCGAGGCCGAAAGGCGUAGUCGAUGGGAAACAGGUUAAUAUUCCUGUACUUGGUGUUACUGCGAAGGGGGGACGGAGAAGGCUAUGUUAGCCGGGCGACGGUUGUCCCGGUUUAAGCAUGUAGGCUGGUUAUCCAGGCAAAUCCGGAUAAUCAAGGCUGAGGUGUGAUGACGAGGCACUACGGUGCUGAAGUAACAAAUGCCCUGCUUCCAGGAAAAGCCUCUAAGCAUCAGGUAACAUUAAAUCGUACCCCAAACCGACACAGGUGGUCAGGUAGAGAAUACCAAGGCGCUUGAGAGAACUCGGGUGAAGGAACUAGGCAAAAUGGUGCCGUAACUUCGGGAGAAGGCACGCUGGUGUGUAGGUGAAGUCCCUGCGGAUGGAGCUGAGACCAGUCGAAGAUACCAGCUGGCUGCAACUGUUUAUUAAAAACACAGCACUGUGCAAACACGAAAGUGGACGUAUACGGUGUGACGCCUGCCCGGUGCCGGAAGGUUAAUUGAUGGGGUUAUCCGUAAGGAGAAGCUCUUGAUCGAAGCCCCGGUAAACGGCGGCCGUAACUAUAACGGUCCUAAGGUAGCGAAAUUCCUUGUCGGGUAAGUUCCGACCUGCACGAAUGGCGUAAUGAUGGCCAGGCUGUCUCCACCCGAGACUCAGUGAAAUUGAACUCGCUGUGAAGAUGCAGUGUACCCGCGGCAAGACGGAAAGACCCCGUGAACCUUUACUAUAGCUUGACACUGAACAUUGAGCCUUGAUGUGUAGGAUAGGUGGGAGGCUUUGAAGCGUGGACGCCAGUCUGCGUGGAGCCGACCUUGAAAUACCACCCUUUAAUGUUUGAUGUUCUAACGUUGGCCCCUGACCGGGGUUGCGGACAGUGUCUGGUGGGUAGUUUGACUGGGGCGGUCUCCUCCCAAAGCGUAACGGAGGAGCACGAAGGUUAGCUAAUCCUGGUCGGACAUCAGGAGGUUAGUGCAAUGGCAUAAGCUAGCUUGACUGCGAGCGUGACGGCGCGAGCAGGUGCGAAAGCAGGUCAUAGUGAUCCGGUGGUUCUGAAUGGAAGGGCCAUCGCUCAACGGAUAAAAAGGUACUCCGGGGAUAACAGGCUGAUACCGCCCAAGAGUUCAUAUCGACGGCGGUGUUUGGCACCUCGAUGUCGGCUCAUCACAUCCUGGGGCUGAAGUAGGUCCCAAGGGUAUGGCUGUUCGCCAUUUAAAGUGGUACGCGAGCUGGGUUUAGAACGUCGUGAGACAGUUCGGUCCCUAUCUGCCGUGGGCGCUGGAGAAUUGAGGGGGGCUGCUCCUAGUACGAGAGGACCGGAGUGGACGCAUCACUGGUGUUCGGGUUGUCAUGCCAAUGGCACUGCCCGGUAGCUAAAUGCGGAAGAGAUAAGUGCUGAAAGCAUCUAAGCACGAAACUUGCCCCGAGAUGAGUUCUCCCUGAGACUUUAAGUCUCCUGAAGGAACGUUGAAGACGACGACGUUGAUAGGCCGGGUGUGUAAGCGCAGCGAUGCGUUGAGCUAACCGGUACUAAUGAACCGUGAGGCUUAACCU